Peromyscus maniculatus bairdii (prairie deer mouse) is the source of this 3455-nucleotide non-coding RNA. The record is from RefSeq and is a predicted model, not a curated record. Lineage: Eukaryota; Metazoa; Chordata; Mammalia; Rodentia; Cricetidae.
CGUGGGGGGCGGGUCACAGAACCUCUGGGCGCGGGGGGAUGACGUCACGUCGGCGACGGGGCUUCGGUUGAAAACCGGCCGUCCCUGCUGACUUGAAGACCGCGUAGCUGGGACGGCGCUACGAUGACCAUUUGCCAGUUUUUCCUUCAGGGCCGGUGCCGCUUCGGAGACCGCUGCUGGAACGAGCACCCUGGCACCCGGGGCGCGGGCGUGGCCCGGCAGCCGCCACCACAGCAGCCGCCGCCGCCCUCAGGAAGCAACAGGCGCGGGUGGAAUGCCACCAGCCAGAGGUACUCCAAUGUCAUCCAGCCAUCCAGCUUCUCCAAGUCUACGCCAUGGGGUGGCAGCAGAGAUCAAGACAAACCAGUAUUCGGCUCCUUUGACUCUGGCGCUUCCACCAGCAGAGGCUUUGGAUCAUCUCAAAACCCUUUUGCAUCACCUGUCUCUGAUGAGCAGAAAGAUGAAAAAAAACUUCUGGAAGGAAUUGUUAAAGAUGUAGAGAUUUGGGAAUCAUCGGGGCAGUGGAUGUUUUCUGUUUACUCACCAGUGAAAAAGAAACCUAACAUCUCAGGUUUCACAGACAUUUCACCAGAAGAGUUGAGGCUUGAAUACCAAAACUUCUUAACCAGCAAUAACUUACAGAGCUAUCUAAAUUCUGUUCAACAGCUAGUAAGUCUAUGGAGGAAUAGGAUAAAUGAACUGAAAAAUCUAAAUAUGUCAACCAAAGGAACUCUGCUCUCUGAUGUCAAGGAUGGAGCCAGUCAAGCAGCGCCUGCAUUUGGAUUUGGAAGCAAGCAAGCAGGGACGUUUGGGUCAUCAGGUUUUCCAGUGGAUAACAGCAGCAGCAGCAAUGUUCAGAACUUUAGUUUUAAAACAAGCUCUGGAUUUGCCACUGCCCUUUCAGGAAGCACGCCCGUGUUUGGAAAUCACCCAGCCUUUGGGACCGGGCCCUCUGCUGGUUCUGCAGUCGCUUCCUCCACUCCAGCCUUUGGAUUUGGGAAACCUGAAGCCACAUCUGCUGCUUCAUUUUCGUUCAAGAGCCCUGACACUUCUGGUUUUGGAUCACCUGGGUUUUCAGGGUUUCCAUCUUCCUUAGCAGUGAGUCCUUUCGGCCCUGCAAUGGCCCCUGCCUUUGGAAGUGGCGGAUCUGUGGCUGGUUUUGGUAGCCCUGGCUCACAGUCUCAGACUUUAUUUGCCAAACCUUCUAAUGACACAUUUGGAGGUAGCAGCCUAUCAGCCUCCCUCCCGGUCUCUGCCACAAAUAAUGUACUGUUUACCCCCAGGGAUCAGCUGACAAAAGAGGAGCUGGAACAAUUUCAGUCCCAGAGAUUUACUCUGGGGAAAAUCCCACUGAAGCCACCACCCGUGGAGCUCCUGACUAUAUAAAGGGCGGUGUCCAAUACAGAACGGCUUUAGCCAGGCGUGUGGCGUAUGCCGGUAGUUUGGGAGGCUGAGAGAAGAAAUGCCACAAAUUCAGGGCCAGCUUGGACUGCACAGAGGAUGCGGAGAGUGGAUGCUGGAGAUCAAACCCAGGUGUGAGCUGCCAUACCACUCCCCACCAUGAUAGCCUGAAAACUGAAGCUGUGAGUCAGCCAGCCUUGCCUUAAGCUGCUGAAGCUGACACCUCACCACGGCACCGGAUGAGGACCACUGUAGCCAGCCCUACGUGGAUGCUGCCCUGAGCGCAUCAGAGCUAGAGAAGAGCACUGUCGGAAGAGCACUGGGAACAGCAUUGCCAACACCCUGAGGUUGCCUCUGCUGUGCGAGCAGUUUCGCAGUGUCUGAUACUGCUGGACCUACAAGCCCGGCACCGGCCCAGGGGUGGAGUUCACAAGACAGGCCAGGGAGGGGAACUUUACAGGGAGAAAUACCACCUUAGGCGGCUCAGUGGUCGGGAGAACGGCGGCAGGGCUUGACUUCCGGAACUCCAGCUUUCUCAGUGGCCACAGAGCUAACUAUCCAAAGCUGAGACCCAAAUAAGCUGCCACAGGGAGAGGAAAACUCAGGAUGGGGAGAAAGGCCACCGGCAUGAUUCUGCUAUCUCUGGCCUCGCGUACUUCUUUGUCCAGGGUAGAGACCACAGCCAUCAAUACCUGCUCUUUAUCACCUCUGAGACUUGAACUCUGACUCCGCUUCCUCCAAACCUAGCCCACCUGCAGCCCUCUUGACACAAAGUUCCACCCAGUCUUGACACCACCUCCUGUUCCAAACACAGUGCUCACCCGGCCCCACCGUCUCCUGUGUGAGAAAUAUCCCCAGAUCCAAACUUACAUGCUGCUAAUACCUGUCAGCAGUCGUCCCUCUUUCCAAGCCUUCCACAGAGUGUUCACUCAGGCUGCAGAAUCUCCUUCCAGGAAGACACCAGUGCCGACCUCAUUGUCCAGAGCGUACCCUCAUUCUGCUUCUUUCGGGACACUCUUCUCUUAAACCCAGUGGAACCACCACCAGAGCCGGUGCCGCUCCACCCACAGCGUGUCCACAGGAGCCCUGCCGCCAACAGUCCCCUCUGCAGCCUGGGCAGCUGCUGGCCACUUGGGACACAGAGAUGGGGCUGCUUUUCCCAGAGCUCCGGCGUCAGGACACAGCGAUCAGGGUUUUCACGCCUUCACGUGGAGUCACUGGUGUUUUUAACUUUUUUAUGAUGUAUGUUUUACCUGCCUGUAUUUAGGUGUCUCACACAUGUACAUACAUGUAUUUUGCACCACAUAUGUAUGUGUGACGUGUGCUUGGUGCCCAUGGAGGUCAGAGGAGGGCAUCGGGGACCCCUGGAACUGGAGUUACAGAUGGCUGUGAGCCACCACAUGAAUACUGGGAAUUGAUCCUAGCCCCCCGAAAGGCAACAAGUGUUCUUAACUGCCACACCAUCACUCAAACCCCAUUUUUAAAUUCCUUUAUUUUUUGUGGGGGGUGUUUUGCCUGUAUGUAUGGCCAUGCAGUAGGUGCGUACAGUGCCAUUGGAGACCAGAAGGCAUCAGAUCCAGGGGACUGGAGGUGCAGAUAGUUAUGAGCUGCCAUAUGAUUAUUGGGGAUUGGACAUGGGUCCUCCGGAAGAGCCCCUGGAGUAGCUGUUUUAAAGGUCACCUGUGUUCCUCAGUUAACGGCUUGCUGUUUUUUUCCAUUGGUUGUACAUUUUUAUGGAUUGACUACCAUUUUAUUUAGCUACUCAUUUUUGGAUAGACGGUGGAUUGUUUCCAAGUUUAUGCAUUUUUUUUAUUUUUUAUCUUAUGUGUAUGAGCGUUCUUUCUGCAGGUAUGGAUGUGCACCUUGUGCAUGCCUCAUGGCCUCAGGAGUCAGGAGAGGGGAUCAGAUCCCUUGGUACUAGAGUUGUGGAUGGCUGUGAGCCACCAUGUGAGUGCUGGGAACCCAUCCUCUGCAAGAGAAACCAGUUGUCAGCCUCUAAGCCGUCUCCCCAGCCCCGGGGUUCAGCAUUUUCUAAUAAACAGAUACAGACAUCA